Molecule: ribosomal RNA, 466 nt
Filed under: uncultured organism
Description: partial 16S ribosomal RNA
Rfam family: Bacterial small subunit ribosomal RNA
Source: RNAcentral
CACUCCUGCGGGAGGCAGCAGUGAGGAAUAUUGGACAAUGGGUGGAAGCCUGAUCCAGCCAUCCCGCGUGCAGGAAGACGGCCCUAUGGGUUGUAAACUGCUUUUAUCUGGGGAUAAACCUACUUACGUGUAAGUAGCUGAAGGUACCAGAAGAAUAAGCACCGGCUAACUCCGUGCCAGCAGCCGCGGUAAUACGGAGGGUGCAAGCGUUAUCCGGAUUUAUUGGGUUUAAAGGGUCCGUAGGCGGACUGAUAAGUCAGUGGUGAAAUCCGACAGCUUAACUGUCGAACUGCCAUUGAUACUGUUAGUCUUGAGUAAGGUUGAAGUGGCUGGAAUAAGUAGUGUAGCGGUGAAAUGCAUAGAUAUUACUUAGAACACCAAUUGCGAAGGCAGGUCACUAAGUCUUAACUGACGCUGAUGGACGAAAGCGUGGGGGGCGAACAGGAUUAGAAACCCGGGUAGUCCC